RNAcentral lists this long non-coding RNA (469 nucleotides) under Monodelphis domestica (gray short-tailed opossum). RNAcentral describes it as "lncRNA (ENSMODG00000040893.1)". The record is from RNAcentral. Lineage: Eukaryota; Metazoa; Chordata; Mammalia; Didelphimorphia; Didelphidae.
GUUCAAUCAGUUGCUAAGUCUUGCAUUCUAUUCAUAUCUUCACAUUUAACUGUUAUUCCAUCUCCAUUACUGAUGAGGUCAUAUUGAGGGUGUCAUAUUGACUUGAUGGGUAUGAGGUACUGGCUAAGAAAUCUAUGAACCAGAAGGCUAUGAAGUGAACUAUGAUGAAUGAUGAAAGUCAAAAGAUAUAAUGUAGGUGCUGCCAGAUUUCUUGAAGAUGAAGAUGAAGCCUGUCCAACCACUUUCAUAUACAGGCAUACUUCAGAGAUAUUGACGGUUCAGUUUCAGAUACCUGAAAAUGGCAAACAUUGCAGUAAAGAGCUGAUUUCUGUGGAACAGCCAUUUUUGAAGAAGGCUGAAUGGGGGAAGUGGUUCUGAAAUCUCUUUUUCCAUAACUUCCAGCAGCAGCUAGUAGGUACUCAAUCAACAUUUGAAUAAAUAAACUUUAAAUAAAUAUUGAACCUUAGUU